UAAAAAUAGAGUUCAAUUCCCGGGAGGAUAGAAAAGGUAUUGCUUUGGUACUCCAUAAUGGCCGCUGUGACGUCACGUGAAAAUGCUCUAUCGAUUUUAGCAACAUUUUAGUUUCAACCGUCCAUCUAUGUACUGUUUAAAAAACGAGCAGGAGUGUUUUAUCGGGYAUAAAACACGAGGCGUAGCCGAGUGGUUUUAGAUCCGAUAAGACACGAUCUGCGAGUUUAUUAAACGGCUUAGAAAACUGAUGAUGUAUGUUUUCAUAUUGUACAGAAUACUUUACGAAAUGAACCAAGUUUGAUAGAGAAAAUCCAAGUUAAAGUUUAUGCAAAUGAAGACGAAUCUAUAUCAGAUAUAAAAUCACCUUCACGGUCAUGAUUCCUAUUGYGUUUCCUUCAUGAAUUAUUAAUGAGUUUUCUAACAUUAAUACCAUCCACCCGAUAUCUUAUUUUCAAUUCCCUCCCAGGCCAUACAAUCAAAUCCUWUUCUAUCGCAUCCUAUACUAUCCCUUCAUAUCUUAUUCSAUAAUCUACAACAUCUGGACAAUCUGGACAGCCAAACACAUUUGAAUGCUUCUCUGAAUGUUUCCGAUCUCCUACGUCCUUCCCUCUAUCAACCAAUCAAAAUGAGYAAAUUUGCUUAUUUAUUUAUGGAAUUGAAUGACUUUUGUUUUCAUUUCAGCCCCAGGUACGCCCGCGGUAGAUCUUAGCGUCCUGACAAAAAAGAAAGGAGAAAUUUUGUUAACAUGGCUUAAAUAUCAUUUUUCUUGAGUAUAGUGCAGUGGUUGUUAGAAUAAAAUAUGAGGAAGAUCCGAUAUUAUUAUUAUUAUUAUUAUUAUUAUUAUUAUUAUUAUUAUUAUAUAAAUUAUAUAAAUUAUCUUAACACACUGAUUUGGCCAAAAUAAAAAAAAAUGAGAGUAAAAACCUAAAGAAAAUUUCAUGGCUCAAAAUGUUGAUUUUUGAUUUUUAUUCAAUCAUUUUCUUAGCUUCUGAUCUAUUUAUUAUUCAUUCAAUCAUAGGGUAAAUUUCUGGGAGGCAUCCAGAGAAGAACACAGUUUGUAAUUGUAACUUUUUGCUGUUGGUUUGGCAUUAAACGUGGCUUUCUUGGUUCUUAUUGUCCUGGUUGUAGUGCACAACAGAAAACUGAAGACAAAAACGAACAUAAAUCCAAACAAUUCAGAAGAAGACUGCCAUUGGUCCCUUUACCUGCUCACGCAGGCUCCACAUACGAGUAGGUUGACUUACAUGGUGCAGUAGAUCCAUCAGAUGUGCAAACUGAAGUUACUGGUCCACAACCCAAAGCAACUGCUGAUGUUGGUGGAACAUAAUAUGUUUCGAUUAAUGAAGGAACAAUAAAGGAAAUCCAAUCCUAAAUAUAUCAAGCUAUUCAUCCAGAAAUGCACCGAAUGGCGAACCGCAAAAUACCAAAGAUUUCUUGGUACGGCCUGCGUAUCACCCCCUGGUGUCUCUCACUAAACCGAUUUUAAACGAAAGCCUUCUUACUUAAACUUUUCACAAAAAACUCAGCAUUAACUACAUCAUUGUUUCACGCUCGUAUUCUCAUAUUCCAAGUUUGAGGAGAAAGCUGUGUUGAGUGGACAUUGCAGUACAUUAUGGAACUCUUUGUAGGGGAAGACAUAGACGCCAUGUUGGUAAUAUUUCAGUUUUCAUAACACAAUACCAUAAUGGACUGUAAUGCCAAAUAGACCCAGUUUUCUUCUCAAUCUAAAAAUGCUCAAUACAUUGCCACGUGAUCCUGUUUUGACAGCCCAUCAAAAACCAGCCAAUCAGUCCCUYGAAAAAAAAAAAAGGCGACCGAAGUCAGAACUAAAAAUUACUCGUAUAUGCGUCUUUGCUUCCCUAGCUUCGUUAUGGACUAGUAUAAAUUCAAUAUUCUACCUAUUCUUAUAACGAAUACCUGUGGGUCUAAUGGUGCGUUGUGGUUUCAAUUCUUUUAUGAAAUUAUCGUGAAAUGAUAGCUCUUUGUUUGCUGAUGAACAGCUGAAAAUAGGACCGCCUGAUCAACUACAACAAUCCUUUGCGCGCGUUCCGUCACUAGUUAUUUAGGAGGUAUGCAAUUAACUAAAUUUGGCGAAUUUUGUUUGCUUUUAGAUUCAUUAAGGUAAUCUUAGACAAUGCAACUAAUAACUUUAAAGAACGUUUCUAUUACUUGUAACGAAAUAGAAAAAAGUAUGAGUGAAGUCAUUAAACCYGGGAAAUAGAUAUUACAAAAA
This is a long non-coding RNA of Actinia tenebrosa (Australian red waratah sea anemone), 2233 nucleotides long. NCBI's taxonomy places the organism in Eukaryota, Metazoa, Cnidaria, Anthozoa, Actiniaria, Actiniidae. The record is from RefSeq and is a predicted model, not a curated record.